This 261-nucleotide ribosomal RNA is filed under the name uncultured Oscillospiraceae bacterium. RNAcentral's name for it is "partial 16S ribosomal RNA". It matches the Rfam family "Bacterial small subunit ribosomal RNA", at positions 79 to 339 of the family's 1533-position model. The record is from RNAcentral. Lineage: Bacteria; Bacillati; Bacillota; Clostridia; Eubacteriales; Oscillospiraceae.
CUUGCUUUUGAUUCUUAGUGGCGGACGGGUGAGUAACGCGUGAGAAACCUGCCUGUCAGAGGGGGACAACAGUUGGAAACGACUGCUAAUACCGCAUGAUGCAUAGGGAUCGCAUGAUCUUUAUGCCAAAGAUUUAUCGCUUCAAGAUGGCCUCGCGUCUGAUUAGCUAGUUGGUGGGGUAACGGCCUACCAAGUCGACGAUCAGUAGCCGGACUGAGAGGUUGAACGGCCACAUUGGGACUGAGAUACGGCCCAGACUCC